This 497-nucleotide ribosomal RNA is filed under the name uncultured bacterium. RNAcentral describes it as "partial 16S ribosomal RNA". It matches the Rfam family "Bacterial small subunit ribosomal RNA", at positions 28 to 507 of the family's 1533-position model. The record is from RNAcentral.
GAUGAACGCUGGCGGCGUGCCUAAUACAUGCAAGUCGAGCGAACGGACGAGAAGCUUGCUUCUCUGAUGUUAGCGGCGGACGGGUGAGUAACACGUGGAUAACCUACCUAUAAGACUGGGAUAACUUCGGGAAACCGGAGCUAACACCGGAUAAUAUUUUGAACCGCAUGGUUCAAAAGUGAAAGACGGUCUUGCUGUCACUUAUAGAUGGAUCCGCGCUGCAUUAGCUAGUUGGUAAGGUAACGGCUUACCAAGGCAACGAUGCAUAGCCGACCUGAGAGGGUGAUCGGCCACACUGGAACUGAGACACGGUCCAGACUCCUACGGGAGGCAGCAGUAGGGAAUCUUCCGCAAUGGGCGAAAGCCUGACGGGGCAACGCCGCGUGAGUGAUGAAGGUCUUCGGAUCGUAAAACUCUGUUAUUAGGGAAGAACAUAUGUGUAAGUAACUGUGCACAUCUUGACGGUACCUAAUCAGAAAGCCACGGCUAACUACGUG